Molecule: ribosomal RNA, 422 nt
Filed under: uncultured bacterium
Lineage: Bacteria
Description: partial 16S ribosomal RNA
Rfam family: Bacterial small subunit ribosomal RNA
Source: RNAcentral
AAUUUUGGACAAUGGGGGAAACCCUGAUCCAGCCAUCCCGCGUGUGCGAUGAAGGCCUUCGGGUUGUAAAGCACUUUUGGCAGGGAAGAAAGGGUUCUGGCUAAUAAUCAGAACUGCUGACGGUACCUGCAGAAUAAGCACCGGCUAACUACGUGCCAGCAGCCGCGGUAAUACGUAGGGUGCAAGCGUUAAUCGGAAUUACUGGGCGUAAAGCGUGCGCAGGCGGUUUGGCAAGAAGGAUGUGAAAUCCCGGGGCUUAACCUCGGAACUGCAUUUUUAACUGCCGAGCUAGAGUAUGUCAGAGGGGGGUAGAAUUCCACGUGUAGCAGUGAAAUGCGUAGAUAUGUGGAGGAAUACCGAUGGCGAAGGCAGCCCCCUGGGAUAAUACUGACGCUCAGACACGAAAGCGUGGGGAGCGAACA